RNA transcript from Fukomys damarensis (Damara mole-rat), 1389 nucleotides. It is a transcript of the gene named chromosome unknown C22orf15 homolog, with no coding region annotated. Lineage: Eukaryota; Metazoa; Chordata; Mammalia; Rodentia; Bathyergidae. The record is from RefSeq and is a predicted model, not a curated record. The transcript is spliced from 6 exons.
GCGCUCUGGGAAUCGGAGGCAGAAAGAUCACAAAUUUGAGUCUUACCUAGGUACUUUAUCAAGCCCCCAUCUCAAAUAAAUUUUAAAAAGGGCUGGAGGCGUAGCUCAGCAAAAGGUAGGUUCAAUCCCUAAUAUAUUAAAAAACAACAACAACAAACCUCAGAACACUGAAAAGAGUAAGUUUUAAAGUGUGUAAGUUAUACCUCAAUAAACUCGAUAAGAAAAGAAAAAGAAACAAGGGUGGAAGACUGGAAGGCUAGGAGAAAGGCAGAGAGGAAAAGAAAGCCAGCCCUGGGAGGUCCCUAGGUGGUAGAGAGCCUGCAGAGGUUGGUAGGGACACAAACAGCCACCUCUUCCAGGCUGGGGGCUUUGCCCUUUCCUGGUGAGGAAUGUGGGCUCUGACGUCAGCAUGUGAGCAUCCCUGGACCCCCACUUUGGAGCCCCCACUCUGAGCCUGAUCAGAGCACCGCCUCAGGGAAUGCCCGCCCUGCCAGCUUGUUACCCGGAUACUGGGGGUAAGGCAUUUCCUGCCUAGAUGUCUUAGCGGCUCCCACUGCCAUGGAGACCAGCUUAGGAGCUAAGGGGAGCUACUCUGGCCCAGCAAGCACUGCAGGAAGAGGCCAGGGGUCUAGGACUAGCAGAGCAGGUGGCUGAGCUGGGACCCGGUCGUGAGACCUUCACGUGUCCACAUCUCCUCAGCAGGACCCGGCCCUGAAGUAGAUCUCAGGCCCAGGCCCUUUCAGGUUGGGGAAUCCGGAGGUGGAGGAUCAAAGCGCCCCCCCCCACAUACACCCGUCCAUCUGUCUCCUCCCCGCCUCCGCAGCCAUGUUUAUCACAGUGAGGUUUGGAGCUGGCCACGGGGAGCUGGUCAACCCCUGGUGCAGCCUGGUGACCCUCACUGCCCACCUGAAGCAUAAGGGGCAGGUGCCCCCAGACGCAACCAUCGCCCUCUUGGCUGAGGAUGGGCACCUGGUGCGCCUGGGCGAGGACCUGGAGAAGGGGACUUCCUCAGCCCCUUCCAUGGGUAGCCCCCUGCUGCAGGAGCGAGGGACCUAUGUUCUCGUGCAAAUUAUCAGAGGGGAAGGCGGAGCCCCUACCCGCUAUGUGUCCCUACUGGAGAACCUGGAUGACUGGUAUCCUGAGCUGGCAGAAGAGCUGCACUGGCUGUCGGGCCUCCCAGCUACGGGUAACAGCAGGAAGAGACGCAUGGGCAAUCGGCGUGGCCAGAAGGAGCAAGGCACUUCUUCCAGGUCCCGAAGGAUGGGCUCACUGACAUCCAGGACCCGCUAGCUGGGACCAGGAGUGCAGUAUGAAGAAGGUAUGGAUGCCCAGAGGCUGAAGUAGGAAUCCCUUCCCAAGGGACAGACAGGACACCCACUACCACCGCCC